RNAcentral lists this ribosomal RNA (1491 nucleotides) under uncultured Bordetella sp. RNAcentral describes it as "partial 16S-23S ribosomal RNA intergenic spacer". It matches the Rfam family "Bacterial small subunit ribosomal RNA". The record is from RNAcentral. Lineage: Bacteria; Pseudomonadati; Pseudomonadota; Betaproteobacteria; Burkholderiales; Alcaligenaceae.
GUUCGAUUAUGAAAACAGAUUGAACGCUGGCGGGAUGCUUACACAUGCAAGUCGAACGGCAGCACGGACUUCGGUCUGGUGGCGAGUGGCGAACGGGUGAGUAAUGUAUCGGAACGUGCCCUAGUAGCGGGGGAUAACUACGCGAAAGCGUAGCUAAUACCGCAUACGCCCUUCGGGGGAAAGCGGGGGACCUUCGGGCCUCGCACUAUUAGAGCGGCCGAUAUCGGAUUGCUUCUAGUUGGUGGGGUAACGGCUCACCAAGGCGACGAUCCCGUAGCUGGUUUGAGAGGACGACCAGCCACUGGGACUGAGACCACGGCCCAGACUCCUGCUGAGGCAGUGGGGAAUUUUGGACAAUGGGGAAACCCUGAUCCAGCCAUCCCGCGUGUGCGAUGAAGGCCUUCGGGUUGUAAAAAGCACUUUUGGCAGGAAAGAAACGGCACGGGAUAAUACCCCGUGCAACUGACGGUACCUGCAAGAAUAAGCACCGGUAACUACGUGCCAGCAGCCGCGGUAAUACGUAGGGUGCAAGCGUUAAUCGGAAUUACUGGGCGUAAAGCGUUGCGCAGGCGGUUCGGAAAAGAAGAUGUGAAAUCCCAGAGCUUAACUUUGGAACUACAUUUUUAACUACCGAGCUAGAGUGUGUCAGAGGGAGGUGGAAUUCCGCGUGUAGCAGUGAAAUGCGUAGAUAUGCGGAGGAACACCGAUGGCGAAGGCAGCCUCCUGGGAUAACACUGACGCUCAUGCACGAAAGCGUGGGGGAGCAAACAGGAUUAGAUACCCUGGUAGUCCACGCCCUAAACGAUGUCAACUAGCUGUUGGGGCCUUCGGGCCUUGGUAGCGCAGCUAACGCGUGAAGUUGACCGCCUGGGGAAAUUACGGUCGCAAGAUUAAAACUCAAAGGAAUUGACGGGGACCCGCACAAGCGGUGGAUGAUGUGGAUUAAUUCGAUGCAACGCGAAAAACCUUACCUACCCUUGACAUGUCUGGAAUCCCGAAGAGAUUUGGGAGUGCUCGCAAGAGAACCGGAACACAGGUGCUGCAUGGCUGUCGUCAGCUCGUGUCGUGAGAUGUUGGGUUAAGUCCCGCAACAGGCGCAACCCUUGUCAUUAGUUGCUACGAAAGGGCACUCUAAUGAGACUGCCGGUGACAAACCGGAGGGGAAGGUGGGGAUGACGUCAAGUCCUCAUGGCCCUUAUGGGUAGGAACUUCACACGUCAUACAAUGGUCGGGACAGAGGGUCGCCAACCCGCGAGGGGAGCCAAUCCCAGAAACCCGAUCGUAGUCCGGAUCGCAGUCUGCAACUCGACUGCGUGAAGUCGGAAUCGCUAGUAAUCGCGGAUCAACAUGUCGCGGUGAAUACGUUCCCGGGUCUUGUACACACCGCCCGUCACACCAUGGGAGUGGGUUUUACCGAAGUAGUUAGCUAACCGUAAGGAGGGCGAUUACCACGGUAGGAUUCAUGACUGGGGUGAAGUCGUAACAAGGUAG